Molecule: ribosomal RNA, 252 nt
Filed under: uncultured bacterium
Lineage: Bacteria
Description: partial 16S ribosomal RNA
Rfam family: Bacterial small subunit ribosomal RNA
Source: RNAcentral
UACGUAGGUGGCAAGCGUUGUCCGGAAUUAUUGGGCGUAAAGCGCGCGCAGGCGGGAUAAUCAGUCUGUCGUAAAAGAUCGGGGCUCAACCCCGUUAGGCGAUGGAAACUAUUAUUCUUGAGUGCAGGAGAGGAAAGUGGAAUUCCCAGUGUAGCGGUGAAAUGCGUAGAUAUUGGGAGGAACACCAGUGGCGAAGGCGACUUUCUGGACUGUGUCUGACGCUGAGGCGCGAAAGCCAGGGUAGUGAACGGG